Molecule: ribosomal RNA, 860 nt
Filed under: uncultured archaeon
Lineage: Archaea
Description: bacterial SSU rRNA
Rfam family: Archaeal small subunit ribosomal RNA
Source: RNAcentral
CAUGCGAGUCAUUGUAGCAAUACAAGGCAGACGGCUCAGUAACGCGUAGUCAAUCUACCCUGUUGACGGGGAUAACCUCGGGAAACUGAGAAUAAUACCCGAUAGAACAUUAUGCCUGGAAUGGUUUAUGUUUCAAAUGAUUUAUCACAAUAGGAUGGGACUGCGGCCUAUCAGUUUGUUGGUGAGGUAAUGGCCCACCAAGACUAUUACAGGUACGGGCUCUGAGAGGAGUGGCCCGGAGAUGGGUACUGAGACACGGACCCAGGCCCUAUGGGGCGCAGCAGGCGAGAAAACUUUGCAAUGUGCGAAAGCACGACAAGGUUAAUCCGAGUGGUUUCUGCUAAAGAAACCUUUUGUCAGUCCUAGAAACACUGAUGAAUAAGGGGUGGGCAAGUUCUGGUGUCAGCCGCCGCGGUAAAACCAGCACCUCAAGUGGUCAGGAUGAUUAUUGGGCCUAAAGCAUCCGUAGCUUGUUUUGUAAGUUUUCGGUUAAAUCCAUACGCUUAACGUAUGGGCUGCCGGGAAUACUGCAUAACUAGGAAGUGGGAGAGGUAGACGGUACUCGGUAGGAAGGGGUAAAAUCCUUUGAUCUAUUGAUGACCACCUGUGGCGAAGGCGGUCUACCAGAACACGUUCGACGGUGAGGGAUGAAAGCUGGGGGAGCAAACCGGAUUAGAUACCCGGGUAGUCCCAGCUGUAAACUAUGCAAACUCAGUGAUGCAUUGGCUUGUGGCCAAUGCAGUGCUGCAGGGAAGCCGUUAAGUUUGCCGCCUGGGAAGUACGUACGCAAGUAUGAAACUUAAAGGAAUUGGCGGGGGAGCACCACAAGGGGUGAAGCCUGCGGUUCAAUUGGAGUCAAC